UGUCUGGCUUUAAACAUGUGCUAGGGUCAGGCUAGGGUCUGCAGGCGGUGACUCAGAGGCUCGAGGUUUCGUUUCCUGGUUAGCGGCCUGCGCUUAUCCUGCCCCACCACCCCCUUAGGUAUGCAGGGUAAGGGGCAGCAAUUUUCUUGGGGUACCUAGUGGGCAAGCACGGGCUGGGGUCUUUCAUUCCCCCAUUUCCUUUUGCCUGAAUGAAAUCCUUCAUUCACCCGACGUUUCCUCCGUUAAUUUAAGCUGAUGAUAUUGUUGGGUUAGUACUAGGGCCUGUACGACCGAUAGUCGGUCUUUUACAAAUUGUAUCAGGUGAUUUAUAAUGCAGGGACCUAAGGUAAGAAUUAGCAUUAAUAGUAUUAGUGGUCCCAUUAGGGAGGAUAACAGGGUAGCGAACCAUGGGGACUUGUUCCAUGAUCCUUUGUACCAGCUGUACUUGUAAGCUCCAAUUUUAAGACAUACUCAUACCAUUUGCUACAUACUUAAACUUUCUGAGGUUUG
Molecule: long non-coding RNA, 510 nt
Organism: Dipodomys spectabilis (banner-tailed kangaroo rat)
Lineage: Eukaryota; Metazoa; Chordata; Mammalia; Rodentia; Heteromyidae
Exons: 3
Source: RefSeq, a predicted model, not a curated record